Molecule: long non-coding RNA, 1894 nt
Filed under: Gallus gallus (chicken)
Lineage: Eukaryota; Metazoa; Chordata; Aves; Galliformes; Phasianidae
Description: lncRNA (ENSGALG00010010162.1)
Source: RNAcentral
AACCAAUGGACGCGUCGCCGAACGUCACGUUGUUCAUACAGCCCUAUGGGGGGGGGGGGGAGAAUGGGGUCACGUGGUACUAUAACGGGUGUGGGGUCACGUGGUACUAUAAGGGGUAUGGGGUCAUACAGCCCUAUGGGGGUAUGGGGUCACGUGGUACUAUAACGGGUAUGGGGUCAUACAGCCCUAUGGGGGAAUGGGGUCACGUGGGUACUAUAGGGGUAUGGGGUCACACAGCCCUAUGGGGGAAUGGGGUCACACAGCCCUAUGGGGGGGGGAAUGGGGUCACGUGGUACUAUAGGGGUAUGGGGUCAGACAGCCCUAUGGGGGGAAUGGGGUCAUGUGGUACUAUAACGGGUAUGGGGUCAUACAGCCCUAUGGGGGGAAUGGGGUCAUACAGCCCUAUGGGGGUAUGGGGUCACGUGGUACUAUAACGGGUAUGGGGUCAUACAGCCCUAUGGGGGUAUGGGGUCAGACAGCCCUAUAAUGGGUAUGGGUGGUAUGGGGUCAUACAGCCCUAUAGGGUUAUGGGGUCACGUGGUACUAUAAGGGGUAUGGGGUCACACAGCCCUAUGGGGGGGGAAUGGGGUCACGUGGUACUAUAGGGGUAUGGGGUCAGACAGCCCUAUGGGGGGAAUGGGGUCAGACAGCCCUAUGGGGGGAAUGGGGUCACGUGGUACUAUAACGGGUAUGGGGUCACACAGCCCUAUGGGGGUAUGGGGUCACACAGCCCUAUGUGGGAAUGGGGUCAUGUGGUACUAUAGCAGGUAUGGGGUCACACAGCCCUAUGGGGGAAUGGGGUCACACAGCCCUAUAAGAGGUACGGGGACAGACAGCCCUAUAGGGGGUAUGGGGUCAUGUGGUACUAUAACGGGUAUGGGGUCAUACAGCCCUAUGGGUGCAAUGGGGUCACACAGCCCUAUGAGGGCAAUGGGGUCAGACAGCCCUAUGGGGGCAAUAGGGUCAGACAGCCCUAUAACGGCUAUGGGUGGUAUGGGGUCACACAGCCUGUGGGGGUAUGGGGUCAGAUGGCCCUAUGGGGGAAUGCGGUCAUGUGGUACUAUAACGGGUAUGGGGUCAUACAGCCCUAUAAGGGGCAUGGGGUCAGACAACCCUAUGGGGGUAGGGGGUCAUACAGCCCUAUAGUGGCAUGGGGUCACACAGCCCUAUAGGGGGAAUGGGGGUCACACAGCCCUAUAAGAGGUAUGGGGACAGACAGCCCUAUGGGGGUAUGGGUCAGACUGCCCUAUGGGGGAAUGGGUCACACAGCCCUACAAGGGGUAUGGGGUCAUGUGGUACUAUAACGGGUAUGGAGUCAUACAGCCCUAUAGGGGGUAUGGGUUCACACAGCCCUAUAGGGGUAUGGGGUCAUGUGGUACUAUAACGGGUAUGGGGUCACACAGCCCUAUGGGGGUAUGGGGUCACGUGGUACUAUAACGGGUAUGGGGUCACACAGCCCUAUGGGGGUAUGGGGUCACACAGCCCUAUAAGAGGUAUGGGGACAGACAGCCCUAUAGGGGUAUGGGGUCAUAUGGCCCUAUGGGGGAAUGGGGUCACGUGGUACUAUAAGGGGUAUGGGGUCACACGCUCGCUAUCUGGCAGUGCCGGGGAAUGGUAUGGAUCCCUAUAGGAUUCUUGCUGGUUCACUUUGUGGCAAUACCUGGAUCUGUAUGGCUCCCUAUGGGGUUUCCAAACGGAUCACUUUGUGGCAAUACCAGGAUGGCUCUGGCUCCCUAAGGGAUUCCCAGUGGCUCCCUUUGUGGCAGUACCUGAAUCUCUCUGGGUCCCUAUGAGGUUCCCAACGGCUCCCUUUGUGGCAGUACCUCAUGUCUGUAUGGCUCCCUAUAUGACUCACCACAGCUCCCUUUGUGGCAGUACCUGGGGUCUAUAUGAC